This 563-nucleotide long non-coding RNA is filed under the name Ananas comosus (pineapple). Its description in RNAcentral is "long non-coding RNA (ACOM_LNC013370)". The record is from RNAcentral. Lineage: Eukaryota; Viridiplantae; Streptophyta; Magnoliopsida; Poales; Bromeliaceae.
GUGUAGCGGUCGAUAGAGCUUUCGACCCAGGUUAAUUCGGUUUACUUUCUUACCCUUCUUAGUUUGGUUAAUGAAUAGUUUAGUUGGGUUAUGUGGUUCAGUGUUUAUUUACAUUUGAAAAUGCGGAUUUCUGGAUUUUGUAAAAUAAAAGGUUUUCUACCCCUCGUGGUAGCGUUUUUAACGAAUAAAGGUUUCCUUGUAGGAAACAGUUUUCAAAAGGAUUUUUCGUGGAUUUCUGUUUAAACAUUGAAUGUAAAACUGUGAUGUGAAUAGUGAAUGUAUGAAUGUAUAGUUAUCUUUAUAUUCAUCUAGUGGUGGUUGUAUCCUGGUUGUACUCUUGUACUUGUGCGACGCCGUGCAAAUACAGGGGAGACUCUAUCCGUGUGAACAGUGGAUCUCCUGUAUUUGUGGCGGAUCUGGCAUACUCUGGGGUCAAGUUUUCAAAAAAAAAAAAAAAAAAAAAAAUUUCAGACGCUUUUCCGCUAUCUUUUAAACUGAAAGGGACCCCGGGGCGUGACACAUUCCGAUUCGAUUCCGUUGUUAAUAUUUAGCGAUCUAAACAU